CGCCCAAGGCGGCCAGCGACGCGGGCAAGGCGGGCGCGCACCCGCUGGAGCCCCACUACCGCCCCCCGGGCGGCGGCUACGAGCCCAAGAAAGAUGCCAGUGAGGGCUGCACCGCGGUCGGCGGGGGCGUCCAGCCCUACCUAUAGAAGCCAGAGCUCCGCAGUGCGCGUAAGUGGCACCCCGUGAGGCCUCCGCCCCAGGGGGCCUCCCUCCACCAAGUGAGCUGCAAACUUGCUUCAUGUGUAUUUCUUGCCUCUGGUCCUGGAGUCUGAGGACGGAGCACUGCAGUGUUCUUCCGUCUUUCUGUCUUUCUUCUUCUCCCUUUAGUGGGAGACCUUUAGCCGGUCUCUUUUGUAGAGUCCCUCUUUUUCCACUCCAGUUCUGCUUUGAAGAUUCCCACCUUUCACUGGAAUCCGCAUGGCGCACCACUGCUGUUGUUUUCUCUUUGAAAAAUAGAUUACUAACAUUUGGGUGUCUGGACACAGUUUGGAACCAUUUCAGCGCACUAGACACGUAAGAGACACUGGCUUCCACGAGCUAGGGCUCGGGAGGCUGGGGCCUCGGAGCCCCUUAGAGGCGCUGUUUGCAGAGUAAGCCCGAGCAGUGGGCCGCGCUGGCCGUCUAUCAGGCUGCCCCCUCCCCCCGUGUCCGGAUGGACUGGGUAGGGGCAGUUCGCCGGGCCCACAGCAGUCUCUCACAGCACUACCUGCUUUACAACUAGGCAAAAUCAUAAUCACAGAUCUCGAAGAUGCUGGGAAAGAGACGAAAUCCUUUCAGAUUGACUCGUUUUUGUAAUGUGUUCACGUUGAUGUGUAACUGAAGGAUUUGGGAUUAUUUGGUUUUUUCCUUGGUCCACAGGUAGGUGUCACAAUUGCUUUGGAAAAAAAAAGUCAGCAGGCCAUUCUCUCUCCCCAAGUUCAUAAAUAUACAGAUAGAAAAACCCCAUCUCUAAAUCGGACCGCAUCUGGGGCCACUGUAACCGAGACGGACGCACAGACUCUAGCAGGACAGACCUUUGUCGGACCUAACGUGAAUGUGUUGGCAUAGUAUAGCUUCCCCGAUGUAUGUGUGACUUUUGAAAACAAUCUUUUUUCUCAGGAUAUCUUGAAUUGAUCACUUCAUUGCCACGGUAUAUAUUCUAUAGGUGUGAUAGGAUUUACUGUAAAAUUUAUUUGUAAAAGAUGUACACAGUAGAAAUAAAACGUGAUCGAAGAACUUGAGUACUUAAGAAGUGGAAACAAAUUUGAUAUUUAUUUUUAUAAUGAUAUAAAGCUUCUAGUAAUUUAUGCAAGUUGUAUUGCAAUGGAAUCUAAACUUUUUGUAAAUAAAUUCUGCCUGGUUUUUAUUUGAACAUUGCUGGUUAUACAAUCUUUGUUGGUUGUUUAACAAGAAUUCUUUACUAAUUUAUAUCUUAAAUUGUAAAUAAAAACAGACUAGCCUACGA
Suricata suricatta (meerkat) is the source of this 1444-nucleotide long non-coding RNA. RefSeq lists it as uncharacterized. The transcript has 2 exons. The record is from RefSeq and is a predicted model, not a curated record. Lineage: Eukaryota; Metazoa; Chordata; Mammalia; Carnivora; Herpestidae.